RNA transcript from Fragaria vesca subsp. vesca, 1220 nucleotides. RefSeq lists it as uncharacterized. Lineage: Eukaryota; Viridiplantae; Streptophyta; Magnoliopsida; Rosales; Rosaceae. The transcript has 2 exons. The record is from RefSeq and is a predicted model, not a curated record.
GGGACUCAUUUAAAUGAGCAUACGUAGUGCCCGCGUCCCCUUCUGACCUUCUUACGGAGCGGCCCCAAAAAUGGGCGGACUACCUACCACAGCGCUAUACAACGAUUUCUUCUCUCCUCUCUCUCUGCUUCACGACUCUCUCUGCUUCGCGAUUCUCUCUUUGCUUCGACUCAUCAACUGCUACAGGAUUCGGUGUCUGGGUAGCUUGAUCUACUAUGAAUUGGUCAGUUUCAUCGCUGGGUCUUCUUCUUCAUUUUUUUUUAUGAGGGGUUGCCGGGUUGAUCUCUAUUCCUGUGAAUAUUCGAUAUGGAUCGAUUUUCAUUUAUUGGAUACAAAAUAUUGGCAUGAAGCAUUGAAGCUCUUUCACCAAAGCAGUACAUUAGUGUGAAAGGCUUCCAGAGUUCCAGAUCGUGUUUCAUUGUUUUGGACCUGUCAGCAAGUUUGUGUUAUUAAUCAUAUGCAUGGUCAUUCUGUACUGAUUGCAAAUGCUUACAAGUUUUUAUAAAGCUCAUUUACACCAAUCAUACUAGCUCUAUGGAUGAGUGAUGACUAUUGGAUUUUAUGAAACUCAUCGACUUUGAGAAAUUAGACCUCGUUGAGGAUGAAUCCGAUUUGAUUAGCCUUGGUUGUGAAGCUGUGGAAUCUCUUGGAACUGAUUCAUUAGUCUAUGCAUCUUUUUCAUGCUUGCAGCAGCCCGCAGUUGAAGUCAAGAGUGAUUGAAUGUAGUGAGGCUUGUAAGCCUGGGAAGUGGUUGAAAUGCAGUGACUUCAAUGAGAGUAUAGUGACAGAUAUAGGUCUUAUUGGUUUACAGGUUGAUAGCUUCUACCAAGGGAGUUCUAAAUGGUAUGAUUCUACUUGUGGAUUAUACCGGCAGUGCAUUCAAGCAUGGGGAGAUUGUUUAGUCUCUGGACAAGUUGGUUUAGUCCUUUUGACAUAGUUAUGUGUGUAUAUCAUCCAUUCCCCAAGUUAGAAGUGGGUUGUUCAUCUUGUAUACAAAAAUUGAGGCCUCUCACUUGCUUUAGGCUCCUUCACUGUGUGUUAUUAUGUAAAGUUUCACCAAUUGCGCUUUAAUGCACAUACAUUUUCCUUAACUAUUUGUUAAUCAUUUUCUGGGCAUUCAGGAUAUUCAGAAUCUUUUUGUCAAUUGUAAUGCAUAUUGGCUACUCUCAAUGUAAUUAUUUUGCCGACUUCUAUUCAUAUGAAAACUUUGGUUUUUGCAC